This is a long non-coding RNA of Spinacia oleracea (spinach), 502 nucleotides long. RefSeq lists it as uncharacterized. The transcript has 3 exons. Lineage: Eukaryota; Viridiplantae; Streptophyta; Magnoliopsida; Caryophyllales; Amaranthaceae. The record is from RefSeq and is a predicted model, not a curated record.
GUCUGGUUAUAGUCAUGCAUAAGUUAUUCAUUUUAGUUAUUAUUUUGAAGCCCAAGAACAGUUAGUUUAUGCCUCUAAAAUGUAUCCUUUGUCUAGACACCUCUGAGGACCUCAAGCGGGAUAUAUGCUUCUGAAUAUUACUGAAGUGGUUCAAGCAGCAAAUCUGGAUAUUCUAAGGUGGGGAAAGAACAUUGCUUCAUCUAAAACACGAACUACAAAACGUGCUGGUGUAGCAGUUUAUUACAGAUCUUCAUCUUUGGAAACACUGGGAGUCGAUUGGAAGAAAGUCAGCACGACCUUAAUUAAGGUUUGUAACGCAUGAUCUAAAGGGAGCUAAGUGGCCGGAUUAGAGAAAUUUGUUAGACUAGCUCUCUAGCCUUUUGUCUUUAUUUGUUAAUAUUAGUUUUAAUUUGUUAGACUAGCUAGCUAGGUGUUUAAAAAUUGUAAACGUACGUACUAUACGCUUUUCUCUAUUGGGUUAAUAUAAAUGAAGUUAAUUUAA